AAUGUAGAGGUCGCAAUUCUCAAGAGUACAUAUUUUAGCAGACAUGCCGAGAUGAUAUGGAAAGGGAGCGUUGCCGAAAUGUGAUGUGCGGUGGCAUAUCAUGUUGGGGAUACGUAAAACAUACGUAUAACUGUCAUGGAAAUGGAGUACUACA
Molecule: non-coding RNA, 154 nt
Filed under: Aliicoccus persicus
Lineage: Bacteria; Bacillati; Bacillota; Bacilli; Caryophanales; Staphylococcaceae
Description: Lysine riboswitch
Rfam family: Lysine riboswitch aptamer
About the family: Riboswitches are metabolite binding domains within certain messenger RNAs that serve as precision sensors for their corresponding targets. Allosteric rearrangement of mRNA structure is mediated by ligand binding, and this results in modulation of gene expression.
Source: RNAcentral